UUUUGACGAUGGGACACCAAAUAACACAACACCGGGUGCCUUCAGUAUCAUGGCAUGCUCACAAACGAAUAUAGAAUAUCAAAUUUGAGGCAGUGAAUAAUCAUUUUUGGGGCAAAGUUAAAUGAUUUUUCUCUAUGAUAUAUUGAUUUUUGAGUAGCAUAAAAAAAAUAACCUAGUGUUUUAAUUUUCAUGAUAUAAGUAUGAAAUCUCAUCACCGAAGAUAUUUCAUACCCCGAAGUUUUUUCAUACAACACCGGGCCACGCAUGCGCAGUAAGGAGACAACGUUUUUUUCUGAGAGGAGGAAAAAAAGUAGCGAUUAUCGCUAGUUUGGUUACAAAAGUAACGAAGAUACUGAUAUAUAUUUAAAUAAGUAGUGGAUGGCCGAUAACCCGAUUUUGUUAUCAGCGAUAAAGUAUCGCGAUAACUUAUCGCGAUAACGCCCAGCUAUGGUAAUGAUGUAUACUGAACUAUUGAUUCAAAAGUGGCUAUUACUUAUGGAUGUGCACAGUCACUUUGGCAGCUUAGUUUUAGUAUAGGCAGAAAUCACUGCUACAGUGGAGUGUGGUGGGAGGUGCAGGCAGGUGGAAGAGCUGGAUGUGGCAGGUGGUAGGGGCUGGGGGCAGGUGCAAGAGGAGAGGGAUGUGGCAGGUGGUAGGGGCUGGGGGCAGGUGCAAGAGGAGAGGGAUGUGGCAGGUGGUAGGGGCUGGGGGCAGGUGCAAGAGGAGAGGGAUGUGGCAGGUGGUAGGGGCUGGGGGCAGGUGCAAGAGGAGAGGGAUGUGGCAGGUGGUAGGGGCUGGGGGCAGGUGCAAGAGGAGAGGGAUGUGGCAGGUGGUAGGGGCUGGGGGCAGGUGCAAGAGGAGAGGGAUGUGGCAGGUGGUAGGGGCUGGGGGCAGGUGCAAGAGGAGAGGGAUGUGGCAGGUAGAAGGGAUCAGAAAUGGAUAAGGGGAAUAAUAAAUGGAGGGUUAGGGAAGAUGCACAGUGUUGAAAAAGGCUGAGGCAUUCA
Molecule: long non-coding RNA, 1004 nt
Organism: Eriocheir sinensis (Chinese mitten crab)
Lineage: Eukaryota; Metazoa; Arthropoda; Malacostraca; Decapoda; Varunidae
Exons: 3
Source: RefSeq, a predicted model, not a curated record